GUGCUUGCUUCAAGCAUAUAUACUAAAAUUGGAAUGAUACAAAGAAGAUUAGCAUGGUCCCUGCGCGAGGAUAACACGCAAAUUCGUGAAGUGUUCCAUAUUAAA
Small nuclear RNA from Suncus etruscus (white-toothed pygmy shrew), 105 nucleotides. Lineage: Eukaryota; Metazoa; Chordata; Mammalia; Eulipotyphla; Soricidae. The record is from RefSeq and is a predicted model, not a curated record.